GAUGAACGCUGGCGGCAUGCCUAAUACAUGCAAGUCGAACGGACGGAAGAGAAAAGCUUGCUUUUUUUGGAAGUCAGUGGCGAACGGGUGAGUAACACGUAGGUAACCUGCCCAUGUGCCCGGGAUAAUUUCUGGAAACGGAAACUAAAACCGGAUAGGUAGGGAUCUCGCAUGAGGACCUUAUUAAAGGGGCUACGGCCCUGAACAUGGAUGGACCUGCGGUGCAUUAGCUGGUUGGUGGGGUAACGGCCUACCAAGGCGACGAUGCAUAGCCGACCUGAGAGGGCGAACGGCCACAUUGGGACUGAGACACGGCCCAAACUCCUACGGGAGGCAGCAGUAGGGAAUUUUCGUCAAUGGGGGGAACCCUGAACGAGCAAUGCCGCGCGAGUGAAGACGGUUUUCGGACUGUAAAGCUCUGUUGUAAGAGAAAAACGGCCGACAUAGGGAAUGAUGUCGGAGUGAUGGUAUCUUACCAGAAAGUCACGGCUAACUANCGUGCCAGCAGCCGCGGUAAUACGUAGGUGGCGAGCGUUAUCCGGAAUGGUUGGGCGUAAAGGGUGCGUAGGCGGUACGGUAAGUCUGUAGUAAAAGGCGGCAGCUCAACUGUCGUAGGCUAUGGAAACUGUCGAACUAGAGUGCAGAAGAGGGCGAUGGAACUCCAUGUGUAGCGGUAAAAUGCGUAGAUAUAUGGAAGAACACCAGUGGCGAAGGCGGUCGCCUGGUCUGUAACUGACGCUGAAGCACGAAAGCGUGGGGAGCAAAUAGGAUUAGAUACCCUAGUAGUCCACGCCGUAAACGAUGAGAACUAAGUGUUGGGGGAAUAACUCAGUGCUGCAGUUAACGCAAUAAGUUCUCCGCCUGGGGAGUAUGCACGCAAGUGUGAAACUCAAAGGAAUUGACGGGGGCCCGCACAAGCGGUGGAGUAUGUGGUUUAAUUCGAAGCAACGCGAAGAACCUUACCAGGCCUUGACAUCCCCGGCGAAGACAUGGAGACAUGUUGGAGGUUAACCGGGAGACAGGUGGUGCAUGGUUGUCGUCAGCUCGUGUCGUGAGAUGUUGGGUUAAGUCCCGCAACGAGCGCAACCCUUGUGAUAUGUUACUAACAGUAAGAUGAGGACUCAUAUCAGACUGCCGGUGACAAACCGGAGGAAGGUGGGGAUGACGUCAAAUCAUCAUGCCCCUUAUGGCCUGGGCUACACACGUACUACAAUGGCGGCUACAAAGAGCGGCGAACCCGCGAGGGGGAGCGAAUCUCAUAAAGGUCGUCUCAGUUCGGAUUGAAGUCUGCAACCCGACUUCAUGAAGUUGGAAUCGCUAGUAAUCGCGAAUCAGCAUGUCGCGGUGAAUACGUUCUCGGGCCUUGUACACACCGCCCGUCAAACCAUGGGAGUUGGUAAUACCCGAAGCCGGUGGCAUAACCGCAAGGAGUGAACCGUCGAAGGUAGGAUCGAUGACCUGGGGUUAAGUCGUAACAAGGUAUCCCUACGGGAACG
Molecule: ribosomal RNA, 1496 nt
Filed under: uncultured bacterium
Lineage: Bacteria
Description: bacterial SSU rRNA
Rfam family: Bacterial small subunit ribosomal RNA
Source: RNAcentral